CUGGCAGUUCUCUGACACAGCGGUUGUGCAGUUGGGAGUGAGGAGGCUGAUGUGGGUGUCACCCAAGGGAUUUCAAUGUGUUUUUCAAAAGGAUAAUGAAACGGCCUGUUUGGUGCAGCACGCUUCCAAAGAUGGAGAGUCCUUUAAAAUUAGUCCACUUCACCCGUGAAAAGACAGACAUCAUUAAUAUUCUUCUAGGACAUUUUGAACACCUGGAGCACAUCCCAGCUGUCCUGAGCCCAGAACACCAUCAGUGGGCUGAGAGUAAGCUCUUCUCAUCCAGAAAGAAAUAGAGCUGUUCCAAGUCUCUGUCACCUUGGAGCUUCCUUUAGGGCAGAGGAUCUGCCGGCUCUGACAGCCCGGCAUGAGGAGCAUUUUACAUCUGGAUACCACAAAACGCUUUACAGAGGCGGAUCUUUCUGUUUGAAAGGAGAAGGAAGCCCUAGCUUGGUUACUUGAUCUAGAGGGAAUUUGAAGCCAGUAGCAGAUACAGGUUUAUUAUUAAGACUCACUGGUUUCUUGCUCUGUCAUAGC
Long non-coding RNA from Tyto alba (common barn owl), 534 nucleotides. RefSeq lists it as uncharacterized. The transcript is spliced from 3 exons. The record is from RefSeq and is a predicted model, not a curated record. Lineage: Eukaryota; Metazoa; Chordata; Aves; Strigiformes; Tytonidae.